UACGUAGGUGGCAAGCGUUAUCCGGAUUUAUUGGGUGUAAAGGGCGUGUAGGCGGGAGCGCAAGUCAGAUGUGAAACCUCGGGGCUCAACCCCGGGCAUGCAUUGGAAACUGGCGGGCUGGAGUGCCGGAGAGGUAAGCGGAAUUCCUAGUGUAGCGGUGAAAUGCGUAGAUAUUAGGAGGAACACCAGUGGCGAAGGCGGCUUACUGGACGGCAACUGACGCUGAGGCUCGAAAGCGUGGGGAGCAAACAGG
RNAcentral lists this ribosomal RNA (253 nucleotides) under uncultured bacterium. Its description in RNAcentral is "partial 16S ribosomal RNA". It matches the Rfam family "Bacterial small subunit ribosomal RNA", at positions 524 to 776 of the family's 1533-position model. The record is from RNAcentral.